GCAAGUCGAACGAGGUCCAUGGAGCUUGCUCCGGAAGAUCUAGUGGCGAACGGGUGCGUAACACGUGAGAAAUCUGCCCCGGACUCUGGGAUAACAGUUGGAAACGACUGCUAAUACCGGAUGCCUUCACAUGAUCGCAUGGUUGUUUGAAGAAAGAUUUAUCGGUUUGGGAGGAUCUCGCGGCCUAUCAGCUUGUUGGAGAGGUAACGGCUCACCAAGGCGACGAUCCCUAGCUGGUCUGAGAGGAUGAUC
Molecule: ribosomal RNA, 252 nt
Filed under: uncultured bacterium
Lineage: Bacteria
Description: partial 16S ribosomal RNA
Rfam family: Bacterial small subunit ribosomal RNA
Source: RNAcentral